UACGAAGGGGGCUAGCGUUGCUCGGAAUCACUGGGCGUAAAGGGCGCGUAGGUGGGUUGGUAAGUCAGUGGUGAAAUACUUUCGCUUAACGAAGGAACUGCCAUUGAUACUACCAGUCUUGAAUACAGUGGAGGUAGGCGGAAUGCGUCAUGUAGCGGUGAAAUGCUUAGAUAUGACGCAGAACACCAAUUGCGAAGGCAGCUUGCUACACUGUUAUUGACACUGAGGCACGAAAGCGUGGGGAUCAAACAGG
This 253-nucleotide ribosomal RNA is filed under the name uncultured bacterium. RNAcentral's name for it is "partial 16S ribosomal RNA". It matches the Rfam family "Bacterial small subunit ribosomal RNA", at positions 524 to 776 of the family's 1533-position model. The record is from RNAcentral.